RNAcentral lists this ribosomal RNA (1392 nucleotides) under Staphylococcus aureus. Its description in RNAcentral is "bacterial SSU rRNA". It matches the Rfam family "Bacterial small subunit ribosomal RNA", at positions 164 to 1533 of the family's 1533-position model. Lineage: Bacteria; Bacillati; Bacillota; Bacilli; Caryophanales; Staphylococcaceae. The record is from RNAcentral.
UAAUACCGGAUAAUAUUUUGAACCGCAUGGUUCAAAAGUGAAAGACGGUCUUGCUGUCACUUAUAGAUGGAUCCGCGCUGCAUUAGCUAGUUGGUAAGGUAACGGCUUACCAAGGCAACGAUGCAUAGCCGACCUGAGAGGGUGAUCGGCCACACUGGAACUGAGACACGGUCCAGACUCCUACGGGAGGCAGCAGUAGGGAAUCUUCCGCAAUGGGCGAAAGCCUGACGGAGCAACGCCGCGUGAGUGAUGAAGGUCUUCGGAUCGUAAAACUCUGUUAUUAGGGAAGAACAUAUGUGUAAGUAACUGUGCACAUCUUGACGGUACCUAAUCAGAAAGCCACGGCUAACUACGUGCCAGCAGCCGCGGUAAUACGUAGGUGGCAAGCGUUAUCCGGAAUUAUUGGGCGUAAAGCGCGCGUAGGCGGUUUUUUAAGUCUGAUGUGAAAGCCCACGGCUCAACCGUGGAGGGUCAUUGGAAACUGGAAAACUUGAGUGCAGAAGAGGAAAGUGGAAUUCCAUGUGUAGCGGUGAAAUGCGCAGAGAUAUGGAGGAACACCAGUGGCGAAGGCGACUUUCUGGUCUGUAACUGACGCUGAUGUGCGAAAGCGUGGGGAUCAAACAGGAUUAGAUACCCUGGUAGUCCACGCCGUAAACGAUGAGUGCUAAGUGUUAGGGGGUUUCCCGCCCCUUAGUGCUGCAGCUAACGCAUUAAGCACUCCGCCUGGGGAGUACGACCGCAAGGUUGAAACUCAAAGGAAUUGACGGGGACCCGCACAAGCGGUGGAGCAUGUGGUUUAAUUCGAAGCAACGCGAAGAACCUUACCAAAUCUUGACAUCCUUUGACAACUCUAGAGAUAGAGCCUUCCCCUUCGGGGGACAAAGUGACAGGUGGUGCAUGGUUGUCGUCAGCUCGUGUCGUGAGAUGUUGGGUUAAGUCCCGCAACGAGCGCAACCCUUAAGCUUAGUUGCCAUCAUUAAGUUGGGCACUCUAAGUUGACUGCCGGUGACAAACCGGAGGAAGGUGGGGAUGACGUCAAAUCAUCAUGCCCCUUAUGAUUUGGGCUACACACGUGCUACAAUGGACAAUACAAAGGGCAGCGAAACCGCGAGGUCAAGCAAAUCCCAUAAAGUUGUUCUCAGUUCGGAUUGUAGUCUGCAACUCGACUACAUGAAGCUGGAAUCGCUAGUAAUCGUAGAUCAGCAUGCUACGGUGAAUACGUUCCCGGGUCUUGUACACACCGCCCGUCACACCACGAGAGUUUGUAACACCCGAAGCCGGUGGAGUAACCUUUUAGGAGCUAGCCGUCGAAGGUGGGACAAAUGAUUGGGGUGAAGUCGUAACAAGGUAGCCGUAUCGGAAGGUGCGGCUGGAUCACCUCCUUUCUAAGGA